UACGAAGGGUGCAAGCGUUACUCGGAAUUACUGGGCGUAAAGCGUGCGUAGGUGGUUUGUUAAGUCUGUUGUGAAAGCCCCGGGCUCAACCUGGGAAUGGCAAUGGAUACUGGCAAGCUAGAGUGCGGUAGAGGGUAGUGGAAUUCCCGGUGUAGCGGUGAAAUGCGUAGAGAUCGGGAGGAACACCAGUGGCGAAGGCGGCUACCUGGACCAGCACUGACGCUCAUGUGCGAAAGCGUGGGGAGCAAACAGG
This 253-nucleotide ribosomal RNA is filed under the name uncultured bacterium. Its description in RNAcentral is "partial 16S ribosomal RNA". It matches the Rfam family "Bacterial small subunit ribosomal RNA", at positions 524 to 776 of the family's 1533-position model. The record is from RNAcentral.